Long non-coding RNA from Tympanuchus pallidicinctus (lesser prairie-chicken), 795 nucleotides. RefSeq lists it as uncharacterized. The transcript is spliced from 3 exons. Lineage: Eukaryota; Metazoa; Chordata; Aves; Galliformes; Phasianidae. The record is from RefSeq and is a predicted model, not a curated record.
AACUGGAUUUCUGUGGUUGGUAAAGCUGUGCUGAGAAGUGGGCUGACACUUGGACCUGGAAAUGUGUCUGCAGACUCUGCACCCAGAGGAAUGACUUUUCCCUGCAGGUUGGGCUUGUCUAAGGUGAUUUUUUCACAAGGAAAGAUUUGAAAUGCUGUUUGCUAAUGGAAGAUGGAGAGAGGAAAAUCAAGUCAAAGGCACGCUGUGCACAGCCAGCACAUAGCAUCUGCACCGCUCUCCCCCUGCACGAAGGAGGAGCAACUCAGCAAGCUUGGCCUGGGCCAUGGAAGGGAGCAUACAAACAUCUGGACCAACCCCAACGAAGCUCCUUCUGCAGGAAUCCAUGUGGGUUUUUUAAUGAAGAACAAACUCGUGCAGCUUGUGAGUGAAUUCAUUCACGCAUGUUAAUCGUUGUUCUUCUCUACGUGGAGCUGCAAUUGCAAUGGAUGCUUGUGGUCUGACGUGCAGCCCCCUCUGAUGUGCUCAGAUGAGCCAAGUUUGCAAGGCCUGGCUCUCGGUUGGUGAGUUGUGCCCAAGGUCAGAGAGGUGACUCUUGUCAGCUUUGAGAUGCAUCUUCCAGUUGCAUGCUGUGUUCUUCCUGUUGCGUUGAGCUCUUGAGCUCCAGCCCUAAGUGAGGAUGCAAGCGCUACCGCAGAAGGGAUGGUUGAGAUUGGAAGUGCAGUGCAAAGGGCUGGAGCCAGCAGGAGCAGGGAUGUGAUCAUCCCCUGUACUCAGCUCUGGUGAGUCCUCACCUUGAGUGCUGUGCUCAGUUCUGGGUCCCUGACUACAUGAAAG